Molecule: ribosomal RNA, 273 nt
Filed under: Exophiala sideris
Lineage: Eukaryota; Fungi; Ascomycota; Eurotiomycetes; Chaetothyriales; Herpotrichiellaceae
Description: partial 28S ribosomal RNA
Rfam family: Eukaryotic large subunit ribosomal RNA
Source: RNAcentral
GGUGACCUCGAUCAGGUAGAAUCACCCGCUGAACUUAAGCAUAUCAAUAAGCGGAGGAAAAGAAACCAACAGGGAUUGCCUCAGUAACGGCGAGUGAAGCGGCAACAGCUCAAAUUUGAAAUCUGGCCUCUUUGGGGUCCGAGUUGUAAUUUGUAGAGGAUGUUUCGGGUAUCGCCUCGGUCUAAAUUUCUUGGAACAGAAUGUCAGAGAGGGUGAGAAUCCCGUCUUGGACCGGCGGUAGGGCUCAUGUGAAACUCCUUCGACGAGUCGAGU